CCUACGGGCGGCAGCAGUGGGGGAUAUUGCACAAUGGGGGAAACCCUGAUGCAGCGACGCCGCGUGAGUGAAGAAGUAUUUCGGUAUGUAAAGCUCUAUCAGCAGGGAAGAAAAUGACAGUACUUGCCCAAGAAGCCCCGGCUAACUACGUGCCAGCAGCCGCGGUAAUACGGAGGGGGCAAGCGUGAUCCGGAUUUACUGGGUGUAAAGGGAGCGUAGGCGGUUAUGUAAGUCUGGAGUGAAAGCCCGGGGCCCAACCCCGGAACUGCUUUUGAAACUGUGUAACUGGAGUACAGGAGGGGUAGGCGGAAUUCCUGGUGUAGCGGUGAAAUGCGUAGAUAUCAGGAAGAACACCGACGGCGAAGGCAGCCUGCUGGACUGAAACUGACGUUGAGGCUCGAAAGCGUGGGGAGCAAACAGGAUUAGAUACCCGGGUAGUC
RNAcentral lists this ribosomal RNA (440 nucleotides) under uncultured bacterium. Its description in RNAcentral is "partial 16S ribosomal RNA". It matches the Rfam family "Bacterial small subunit ribosomal RNA", at positions 338 to 795 of the family's 1533-position model. The record is from RNAcentral.